CAGCAGCCGCGGUAAUACGGAGGGGGCUAGCGUUGUUCGGAAUUACUGGGCGUAAAGCGCACGUAGGCGGCUUUGUAAGUUAGAGGUGAAAGCCCGGAGCUCAACUCCGGAAUUGCCUUUAAGACUGCAAAGCUAGCAGGUGAGAGAGGUGAGUGGAAUUCCGAGUGUAGAGGUGAAAUUCGUAGAUAUUCGGAAGAACACCAGUGGCGAAGGCGGCUCACUGGCUCAUACUGGACGCUGAGGUGCGAAAGCGUGGGGAGCAAACAGGAUUAGAGACCCCUGUAGUCCCUGUCUCUUAUAC
Molecule: ribosomal RNA, 301 nt
Filed under: uncultured bacterium
Lineage: Bacteria
Description: partial 16S ribosomal RNA
Rfam family: Bacterial small subunit ribosomal RNA
Source: RNAcentral